The sequence is a transfer RNA, 133 nucleotides long. It matches the Rfam family "tRNA". From Rfam's summary of the family: Transfer RNA (tRNA) molecules are approximately 80 nucleotides in length. Their secondary structure includes four short double-helical elements and three loops (D, anti-codon, and T loops). Further hydrogen bonds mediate the characteristic L-shaped molecular structure. tRNAs have two regions of fundamental functional importance: the anti-codon, which is responsible for specific mRNA codon recognition, and the 3' end, to which the tRNAs corresponding amino acid is attached (by aminoacyl-tRNA synthetases). tRNAs cope with the degeneracy of the genetic code in two manners: having more than one tRNA (with a specific anti-codon) for a particular amino acid; and 'wobble' base-pairing, i.e. permitting non-standard base-pairing at the 3rd anti-codon position.
GGCCGGCUGGCGUAAUGGUAACGCGUCCGUUUCCGGCUCCUUUCACCGGAUUCUUUAAUGGAUUUAUGUUUCAAAAUAUGAAUUCUGAAUUUGUCAUGCGGAAGAUUUGCAGGUUCGAGCCCUGCGUCGGUCG